RNAcentral lists this long non-coding RNA (2295 nucleotides) under Homo sapiens (human). RNAcentral's name for it is "non-protein coding LINC01574:1". The record is from RNAcentral. Lineage: Eukaryota; Metazoa; Chordata; Mammalia; Primates; Hominidae.
CCGCCCCCAACCCCACCAUCCCCCAACACUGGGCCACGGUAAAGCGGUUCAUCUGUUUCCUCAAACCUGAAACACAGCCGGGCUUUUCAGGGCUCUAAGGCCCCCGAAUGUGGUGGGUGCCCCGGAGAAGGACAGGGCAGGGACGUGUGGGGAUCUGGCCCUCUCCCGCUUGCAGGUGUGGCUGGCGUACGCGUUGGGAGCGCCUGCUUGCCCCUCCUCCGGGGGGGAAGGACUGGCCGUCGUCCCUGCCCCGGGGGUGCGGGUGCGCCGAGCCCUCGGGAGGCCUGGCUCUGGUGUGGGCUGCGGGGAGAAGGCGCGGGAAGGAAGGAAGGAGGCGAAGCGGUGCGGGAGGGAGGCGGCCGUUGCCAUGGAAGGAGCUGCAAGCCUCCCUGCAGACCGCGAGCGGAGCCCCCGCACCCCCGGGGCUGGCCCCUGGCCUCCCGCCCCAGCCCGGCCGGCGGCCCCUCCCUGCUCCGCUGUCCGCCUUGGGUACAGAAGCGGCGAGUGGCCCCUUUCCAGGAGGCCUGUUUACCAGCACGACAACGGCAAAUUAGUGCGCUUAAGAGGCAUUCGGCGUUUAUCCCGGCAAACAUGCGCAGCGUGAAGGGGGCCUGCGAGGCCUGCUCCCCGGAAUCUGCUGAAAUGGGGUCUGCUGUGCAUCUUAAUCGACUUACUUCCACCCAUCACAUUAAACGCAUUUAAUCUACUCUUGCAAAUGGCUAAUUUUGAAAAUCCGCUUAUCAGAAUUAGGUCCUCAACAUCCAUAUUUAUUUACUUUCCAUUUUCAUAAUCUUUUUUUUUUUUUUUUCCCCUUGUGUGGGACUGAAUUCCAUUUACUAUUGUCUGGCUCGCUCUCGCCCGUCCCGGGGGGCCGGGGCAGGGGACAAGGGCCAGGUUAGGAGCAAACUGGAAAUGGAAACCUGGCAGGGAUGAAAGGCAUGGGCUCGGGAUUUGAGGACUGGGAGGCUCUUCCCGGGUGGCAGCAUCUUCAGGAAAUCACCAAGAGCUGAGGCUUGAGCAGAGCAGGUUUAAAAAGGCGAUGAGGAAGUCUUGCUGAAUCGCAGGCGCCCGGGGCCUGCCUGGCAGGAAUCAGCAGCCGUGUCAGAAAUGUGCAAGAAAGUGGUUGGGAUCAACUGUCUUCCCCAGCGCCCCCGGUGCCAGGCUCCGUGCUAAGCGCUUCACGUGGACCAGCACUCAUGCUCACGCCAGCCCUGCUCAGUGAAUGCCAGGCGCGUCUCGCAGACAAGAAGACUCCUGCUGUGGCUUAGACCCACAUUUACAUCCAGACUGCACGUCCUCCUCUGCAGCAUGUUGUCAGGUGUGCAAGGCACGUUUUUCCUAUGAGUGUGUAAGAAACACAAGUUUGUGUGUGCAGGACUCAGGCCUGUGAGAAACGCAGACUCAAGGGAGAGAUGGGUGUUCAGAAUCUGGAAGAUGGCUCUCCAGGUCACAACCUGUGCAGCCUCAAGCGUGGAUUCCGCAUGUGGCUUUCCUCACCACGUUUGGGCUCUGCAAGUUUGCUAAGAGUCGCUACAGAGCUAGGAAGAGCCGCCAGGCCUCUUGGCCUCUAAAGGACUUAGCACUCAAUGUUAAUUUUGUUGUUGCCAGUCCCCUAAUGAGCUGAUUUGGCACACAUCUAGAGCAAAAACCUGAAUUUCACUUCGUUUAAUUUACUUUCAACAUUGGCUGGGCACCUCCUAUUGGCCAAGUGAUGUUCUGCAGAAUACCUGGGUGGAAGGAUAAAUCCGAUCUGUUUCGAGCCUUGGGAAGCUCACAUUUACUGGAUUUUACAAGAAAGGCUCAGAACAACAAAGUGUUAACAGAUGCAUACCAGACAAUUUUAUUCUCCCAAAGAACUGCUAAGUUAUGUUGUAGCCAUCUUAGAUUUCCAGAUCUAAUGGGAAUUCUAAAGCAUAAGGCAUUAAUUACAUCUUGGUGGUUGAGAUUAGGGCUGAAUUGUCUGCAGACUUGAACUCAAACCUGCAGUUCUGCCGCCUUCACUGUAUGACCUUGGGCACAUUGGACCCUCAAUAUCCUCAUCUGUGUAAUGGGGGUUAUAUAAAUAUCUACCCAUAGGGCUCCGAAGAUCUAAAUUAAUGCUGUAGGUGGAGCUUUUAGUGAGGUAUCUGACAAAGGCCUACACCUAACAACCAAAUAGUAAGCAUUAUGAUACAUAAUCAUUUACUGAAUCAAACUCAGCAAAUAGAAUUCAAAGACAGAAAUAAACAUUGAUCAAGUGUUUUUCAUUGUUCCGAGUAUGUUGGUGAGCCACCUGGAAAGCUAACGAAGCAGUCA